This 471-nucleotide ribosomal RNA is filed under the name uncultured bacterium. RNAcentral describes it as "SSU rRNA". It matches the Rfam family "Bacterial small subunit ribosomal RNA", at positions 26 to 518 of the family's 1533-position model. The record is from RNAcentral.
AGGACGAACGCUGGCGGCGUGCUUAACACAUGCAAGUCGAGCGGAAAGGCCCUUCGGGGUACUCGAGCGGCGAACGGGUGAGUAACACGUGAGCAACCUGCCCCUGGCUCUGGGAUAGCCUCCGGAAACGGGGAUUAAUACCGGACAUUCACUGCCUGCCGCAUGGUGGGUGGUGGAAAGUUUUUCGGCCAGGGAGGGGCUCGCGGUCUAUCAGCUUGUUGGCGGGGUAACGGCCCACCAAGGCGACGACGGAUAGCCGGCCUGAGAGGGCGAUCGGCCACACUGGGACUGAGACACGGCCCAGACUCCUACGGGAGGCAGCAGUGGGGAAUAUUGCACAAUGGGCGCAAGCCUGAUGCAGCGACGCCGCGUGGGGGAUGAAGGCCUUCGGGUUGUAAACCCCUUUCACCAGGAGCGAAUUCAGACGGUACCUGGGGAAGAAGCGCCGGCUAACUACGCGCCAGCAGCCGC